Neofelis nebulosa (Clouded leopard) is the source of this 1667-nucleotide long non-coding RNA. RefSeq lists it as uncharacterized. The record is from RefSeq and is a predicted model, not a curated record. The transcript has 2 exons. NCBI's taxonomy places the organism in Eukaryota, Metazoa, Chordata, Mammalia, Carnivora, Felidae.
AGAAAGGCUGGGCAGUGGUAAGAAAGGUGGCCGGUGAGGGGAGGGCUGAUAGGAGACAGGUAGGUACUUGGCCUCAAGAGCCCUGAGCUCUGGCCUUAUCACUACCAUUUACCGCAGAGGGGCCCUGGACAAAUGGCUCACCCUUCAGACCCUCACUUUUGUCAUCUGUAAAAUGGCACUAGGGCUUCCUGAUCUCCUGACUUCCUGUAGUUACCCUAAGAAGCUUAUUAAAACAUGGGCAUAAGAACAUUUCGCAAAGCAUAAAUGUGCCUGAGCCCACGGCAUCCCUGCUACUUUGUGGAAGGGAUAGGAAGGUAAGGAAGGAGGCAGAGAGAGAGGACAGGAGGGGAGAAUGAGCGUCCACAUUCAAUGAUUCCAGACUAAGACAACAAGGGCAGAGGGGAGAGCUGCAAACAGGCCUGUCUUAGCGUGCUAGAAGAUUCCUAGAGGAAGGUGUAGCUCCCUAAAACUAGAUGGUCUGUGGAGGCGUCACAGGGCCCUGUGGAGAGGCUGGCCCACUGGCAUUAGAGGAGGCAGAGGUGUGCCCUGGUAUGUCCCCCUCCCUCUCCAGUGGCUGGUGUCACAGGGGGAAAGGACCAGAGAGCUCAUAAAGCCUAGCUACUCAGCUCAGAGAGAGACCACUCAGGCCCACUUAAGAAAGCAAACGAACUGCGUCUUGGGCUCACUCCUCUAAGACCAAGGGAACAUUAGGGCCUUUCAACCCAGCACUCGCUCUGUAGCUCCCCAGUGACUCGUCCCUUCCGCCUUGAAGUACGAGCGUGUGUUUCCUCGACCCAGGCCAGACUGUGCAUUCGUGGGCAACUUGAGGGCGGGAACAGAGAUGAUGGAGGUCACCCCUCCUCUGUGCCCUGCCCCCACCCGCAGCACAUGACGCACCACUGCGGAAGGAAACACGCGUGGAGAAGUGAACGAAUGGGUCGAUCAGGGCUGGUAACAGAGGCCAUGCCCUCACUGGUGAGGUCGCACUGUGCUGGGAUGCUCUGAACUUUGGUCCCCAGGAAGCACACAGAGCGGCCAGAAUAUGUGCAGGAGGAGGAGAAUGGGAUACGUCCUCCCGAUCCUCCCAAAGGAGGCCCCGUCACUCCCUCACCCGGUCCAGAGGCUGAAACAUGGCAAAGAGCGUUUAGCAGGCAUCCCCCUGUCCCCAUGGAGAAGGACAAACGGCAGGCUUCAAGAAGGUCAAAACUAAAGAGGAUCUUAAGGCCUCUAGGCCAACUCUAUGGGGAAACUGAGGCUCAUGGAAAGACAGAGGCUCUCCAGCUUCCAGAAGUCUCUUGCACAGCUGAACCCUCUUCCUCCUCACCUAAGAGAGGCAAUCCCCAGCCUGUCCAUGGAUCCAAAGUCAAGUCGAACCUCCUAACCGUGAGGGCCUCGGUGCCCCUGUCAGAGGCUCUGCAAAGGCCCGGCAAAGGCCGGAAGAAUCUGUUAAUGGGGGUGAUCUGGGGGAGGCCUUCCUUCCAUUAUCCUCACUGGAGUUUAUCUGUGUUGACUGGUCUGCAUAAGAUGCGUUUCAAUCUUGGCUCUCCUUAAGAAGAUACCGUUUAAGAUUUUUUUCCCUUGGUCCAAGACCAUCUAAAGAUAAGAAUUAGGAGGCUUUCUUUGGUUUGGCCAGGUCUCAGCCUGAAAAACAUCUUUGACAUCUAAGA